CUACGGGAGGCUGCAGUGGGGAAUAUUGCACAAUGGGGGAAACCCUGAUGCAGCGACGCCGCGUGAAGGAUGAAGGAUUUCGGUUCGUAAACUUCUAUCAGCAGGGAAGAUAGUGACUGUACCUGACUAAGAAGCCCCGGCUAACUACGUGCCAGCAGCCGCGGUAAUACGUAGGGGGCAAGCGUUAUUCGGAAUUACUGGGUGUAAAGGGUGCGUAGGUGGCUUGUUAAGCCAGAUGUGAAAGCCCGGGGCUCAACCCCGGGACUGCAUUUGGAACUGGCAAGCUAGAAUACAGGAGAGGUAAGUGGAAUUCCUAGUGUAGCGGUGAAAUGCGUAGAUAUUAGGAGGAACACCAGUGGCGAAGGCGACUUACUGGACUGUUAUUGACACUGAGGCACGAAAGCGUGGGGAGCGAACAGGAUUAGAUACCCGAGUAGUC
This 439-nucleotide ribosomal RNA is filed under the name uncultured bacterium. Its description in RNAcentral is "partial 16S ribosomal RNA". It matches the Rfam family "Bacterial small subunit ribosomal RNA", at positions 339 to 795 of the family's 1533-position model. The record is from RNAcentral.